AGCAAACUGGUGCUAUUGAAGAUCAUAAAUUUGGCGGUGCAAAAUGUGUCAUCUUCAUUUAAUUGUUUUUUCUUCAUUUUUAAGACUAACUAUUGUGUUGUAGUACAUUAUGCUGCAGUUGUGCAAAUGCCAGAAGUAGUUAGACACAGAUUCUUCAGUUCAAUUCUGUAGCUGCUUUUCCCCCGUGAAAUCCAGAGUAGUUGAUAAUGUGUUUGGAUCCAUACUUUUAGAAUGAGCUCAUUUGGAC
RNAcentral lists this unclassified non-coding RNA (247 nucleotides) under Hevea brasiliensis (rubber tree). The record is from RNAcentral. Lineage: Eukaryota; Viridiplantae; Streptophyta; Magnoliopsida; Malpighiales; Euphorbiaceae.